CACCUGCCUCGGCCUCCCAGAGUGCUAGGAUUCCAGGCAUGAGUCACCAUCCCCGGCCUGUACAGUCUCAUGAUUAUCUUCCAAAGAGUUUUUAAUUUUUUAUUACUUCUGAAACUCGUAAGUUAUAAAAGAAUCAAAGCAUUAUCUGAGAUGUCAGCUAGUCCAAUGACUGUAAACCAGGGUGGUGGAGUGGUAGUGGGUUUAUCUAAAUCACUUCUGAAGCACUUUUCCAAUAACAGCCUCCCUAUCUUCUGGAAGAAUUCUGGUAUGGCAACCAUGUUACAGUGGCAGUGGGAGUGAGGGGGGACGGGAGGUGAGUGAGCACCUGGGUUGUUUGCUAAACUACUUUAGCAAUUAUUGUGAUAGGUACCUACCCCCCAGAAUGCCCCCAAAACAUAUAACUAGUUGAAGACAAAACCAGAGUUUGAUGCAAAAACUCCUGCCAGUUUUAGUCUAGUCUUUUCCUAAUUAUUUUGCUUUGCCCUGACAAUUCAUCUUCAUCUCCAUAAUCCUUAUUAGUUCCAGAUAGAAACUUCCUUUAAUUUACUUAAACUCUGUUCUGGGAGCUCCCCUGCUCUCAUCUUCUACACUUAAAAACAAAUGAACAAAUUAAUGAACAGACAGCAACACAAACAAGCUAAAACAAACGGGCAGAGACGAUCAACUAUACACUGAAAACUCAUUUUCUCAUUUCCUGGCCUGGGGUUAUUGCUGGGGGUCAGCUUCCCAGCCAGGUGCUGCUUUUCUUAGGCCCUUUUGCAUCCAGGGGCAUCCAUGCACUCAUCAGUUAUCAACCACCAAUCAAGCAGCUGUCUUCUUUCCCGUGUCUAAUCAGACAAGGGUCAUCUGUCACAGAACUAUCCAAUCAGCAUUAAGGUGCCGAGUACAAAAGGCUGCUCAAAGAGAGAGUUUUUCUGACCAACAACAUUCUACUUUAUUGAGGAUUUGGAUGUGAGAGAGAUAUAUAUAUGGAAAGCUGACAUUUGGCUGUGGGAGCAGAAGUAAAAAGAGACACGGCGAGACGGACCUGAGGAAAAAUUCCCCCAGCAUAGACUGGUGAAAAGACAGAGGGCUCUGGAAUUAAUCAAGCUGGGUUUCUGCUUCAGUUUUGUCCCUCAUAGUUACUCCUCUGGGUUAUAAAGACUGUGACUUCUGCCUUGCUGAUAUUCUCUCUCCCUGGGUCAUCUCCUGUGCUUGCUUUGAUGGAAAGACCUACCAGGAAAGCCUCUUGCAAACAGCCAGCAACAAAGUGAGGUUCUCAGUCCAGUAGCUUGUGAGAAACUGUAUCAUGCUAGCAACCAUGGAGUGAAAUUGGAAGUGGAUGCUACUUCAGUUGAAUGUUAAGAUGACUGCAGCCUGGGCUGACACCGUAAUAACAGUCUCAUGAAGACUCUGAGGCAGAGGACCCACCUAGAUGAACUGUGCCUGAAUUCUUGACCUACAAAAACUGAAGCUACCAAAGGGCGCUGGAUUGAUGGUGUCACCUACUGACCAAAAUCCAAACCACCAGGACACAAUCACCUCCUCUCUGGGGCUCUCAAAGUCAGUACACAGGAAUUAUCAACGAAUUUCACCCUUCACCCAGUUUCAAUGAGCUCACCUAUGAAUGUAAACUAGAAAUCACAAGUCCCAUGUGAGAAGAAAAGACCUGGGGAGCCAUGUAAGAGUGGGGAUGAAGUGAGGAGACAACAUCCUUAUCAAUGUCUGACUUCUAUACUUUUCAGUCCUUAAGGCUUUGCUUUCAAUCUGCCCUGUGGGGAUCCCCGAGAAAUCUUGGAAGCUGUGUUACUGGCGAUGAUGGGACAAGAGAUUGGACACACCUCGUUAUACCCCCUCGUCACUAACUGACAUUAAGUAUUGCUUCUUAUGGAUUAAACAGAAACGAGCCAUUCUGAAAGACUCCACACCAAUAUCAACAAACUCCCUGAUGCUUUCCCUCCCUGUCUGCAGUUUCAACACAACUAACCAGUACUUCUCUCUUAUAAGACCAUCAACCACUGAGUGGUUCUGGCAAGUCUAUGGAGGAUGCACAGUGAGGUUUUUUUUUGUGUCCUGUUUUUCACCUUUUGACAUCAGAGGGCCAAAAUCUCUACCCUCAAAUCAUGCUAAUGCUGCCAUGGGACCCAUGGAGAGGCAUGAAGCUCAAUUGUACAUAUGCAUGCUUGUCCUUUCAUAAAUAUGCAUUACUCCUCUUAUAGCUUAUGAAUAUGCAUAUUUGGCCACCCCAUUCAGCAUAAAUCCCUGUCUUGUUCUCCCAAUCCUUGAAGUGCCUGUUUAUAGCCUCUAGGCCAGAGACUAUGCUUCCCAGCCUGUCAGAAUGGCCACCCUGCAGACUGCAAGCCAUUAUGAGAAAUAAAGCACUCUUUUUAAAAUUUAUGAACCUUGUCAUUCUUCAGUUGACAGUUUUAAGCUGAUAGAAAGAACUAUUAGUACUACUUUUAUGCUUAACAUUACAAAAUGUUUUUCUUUGUAGGAGGGAAAUCACAGGUAAAAUACAUCUUCAAAGGCAACCUAAAAUAGAAACAGU
This 2527-nucleotide long non-coding RNA is filed under the name Homo sapiens (human). RNAcentral's name for it is "HSALNT0044366". The record is from RNAcentral. Lineage: Eukaryota; Metazoa; Chordata; Mammalia; Primates; Hominidae.